UCCUACGGGAGGCAGCAGUGGGGAAUAUUGCACAAUGGGCGGAAGCCUGAUGCAGCGACGCCGCGUGAGGGAUGACGGCCUUCGGGUUGUAAACCUCUUUCGCCAGGGACGAAGCGUAAGUGACGGUACCUGGAGAAGAAGCACCGGCUAACUACGUGCCAGCAGCCGCGGUAAUACGUAGGGUGCGAGCGUUGUCCGGAAUUAUUGGGCGUAAAGAGCUCGUAGGCGGUGUGUCACGUCGGCCGUGAAAACCUCAGGCUUAACUUGGGGCUUGCGGUCGAUACGGGCAUCACUUGAGUUCGGUAGGGGAGACUGGAAUUCCUGGUGUAGCGGUGGAAUGCGCAGAUAUCAGGAGGAACACCGGUGGCGAAGGCGGGUCUCUGGGCCGAUACUGACGCUGAGGAGCGAAAGCGUGGGGAGCGAACAGGAUUAGAUACCCUGGUAGUCCACGCUGUAAACGUUGGGCGCUAGGUGUGGGGUGGGUCCACGUAUCCCGUGCCGU
RNAcentral lists this ribosomal RNA (502 nucleotides) under uncultured Prauserella sp. Its description in RNAcentral is "bacterial SSU rRNA". It matches the Rfam family "Bacterial small subunit ribosomal RNA", at positions 337 to 849 of the family's 1533-position model. The record is from RNAcentral. Lineage: Bacteria; Bacillati; Actinomycetota; Actinomycetes; Pseudonocardiales; Pseudonocardiaceae.